This 475-nucleotide ribosomal RNA is filed under the name uncultured Alphaproteobacteria bacterium. RNAcentral describes it as "bacterial SSU rRNA". It matches the Rfam family "Bacterial small subunit ribosomal RNA", at positions 9 to 521 of the family's 1533-position model. The record is from RNAcentral. Lineage: Bacteria; Pseudomonadati; Pseudomonadota; Alphaproteobacteria.
GAGUUUGAUCCUGGCUCAGAACGAACGCUGGCGGCAUGCCUAACACAUGCAAGUCGAACGGGAUCCAGGCUUCGGCCUGGUGAGAGUGGCGGACGGGUGAGUAACGCGUGGGAACCUGCCCAAUGGUCUGGGAUAACCGCGGGAAACUGCGGCUAAUACCGGAUAAGCCCGAGAGGGGAAAGAUUUAUCGCCGAUGGAGGGGCCCGCGUCCGAUUAGGUAGUUGGUGAGGUAACGGCUCACCAAGCCGACGAUCGGUAGCUGGUCUGAGAGGAUGAUCAGCCACACUGGGACUGAGAUACGGCCCAGACUCCUACGGGAGGCAGCAGUGGGGAAUAUUGGACAAUGGGGGCAACCCUGAUCCAGCAAUGCCGCGUGAGUGAUGAAGGCCUUAGGGUUGUAAAGCUCUUUUGGCGGGACGAUGAUGACGGUACCCGCAGAAUAAGCCCCGGCUAACUUCGUGCCAGCCGCCGCCGU